Long non-coding RNA from Oreochromis aureus, 306 nucleotides. RefSeq lists it as uncharacterized. The record is from RefSeq and is a predicted model, not a curated record. NCBI's taxonomy places the organism in Eukaryota, Metazoa, Chordata, Actinopteri, Cichliformes, Cichlidae. The transcript has 3 exons.
AAAUAUAAUAAUAACCACAGCAGCCAAGAAGAGUGCCUGACGAGCUCAGCUGUAUAGAAGUCUGUCUGGGGGCAGGAAUGCACCUGGUUAACAAACAUGUACUAGAGAGACACACAAAACAAAACGUCACAUUGCAUCGAGGGCAAUCAACUGAUGGGCAAGCCAUCUUAUUGUGCUCCAACAGCAAACCACAGUGUCUCUAGUGAUGGGUUGCAGCAGCCAUGAUUUCCACAGCAGUCUUUCCGAGGCCGUGGACCCUUCCAUUCCCUCAAACACUGCCAGCAGAAUUCAAAGGGCCGUCCUUUU